GACGAACGCUGGCGGCGUGCCUAACACAUGCAAGUCGAGCGGGGACUUGGGAGCUUGCUUCCGAGUUCUAGCGGCGGACGGGUGAGUAACGCGUGAGCAACCUGCCUCAAACAGGGGGAUAACGCAUCGAAAGAUGUGCUAAUACCGCAUAAUGCAACGGAAUCGCAUGACUCUGUUGCCAAAGAUUUAUCGCUCUGAGAUGGCCUCGCGUCUGAUUAGCUAGUUGGCGGGGUAACGGCCCACCAAGGCGACGAUCAGUAGCCGGACUGAGAGGUUGGCCGGCCACAUUGGGACUGAGACACGGCCCAG
RNAcentral lists this ribosomal RNA (309 nucleotides) under uncultured bacterium. RNAcentral describes it as "bacterial SSU rRNA". It matches the Rfam family "Bacterial small subunit ribosomal RNA", at positions 28 to 334 of the family's 1533-position model. The record is from RNAcentral.